Molecule: long non-coding RNA, 990 nt
Organism: Lotus japonicus
Lineage: Eukaryota; Viridiplantae; Streptophyta; Magnoliopsida; Fabales; Fabaceae
Exons: 2
Source: RefSeq, a predicted model, not a curated record
GGUCCCAUGGUCACUCCUCUCUCUCACGCACUCAUUCACUCAGUCUCUCUCUCACCACACUCACGAUUCUCUCACUCACACACACCUCUUCUCCUGAGUUCUGACCACCACCGAUCCAGUCCACCACCACCAGCCGACGCACCACCGCCACCGGCCACCAGCCCACCACAAUCCUUCUCUGCUCACUACCUUCUCUCUCUCUCACGCUGUCACUCAAGGCACCACCCACUCUCUCUCUCAAGCACAAGCCACACCAGUGACACCACGCCACCAGUCCACCACCACCGGCGGCCACAACGCCACCACCCACUCAGCCACUCUCUCUCUCUGUUGAAGCUUGAAGGUGCUGUUUUUUUGCUGCAUAAUUUGCUGCAUAAGGAUGUCAUUGGUUUUUAUGGAUGGUUGAUAUUGGUGGCUGAUUUUGGAUGUUUUUGUGGCAAUGGAGUGUACCAGAAUUUGGGAGAUUCAUUUUUGCUGGCUUUGGGAUAUCUUGUGCUCCUUGAUAAGUCGUUAUUGCUGUGUUUUAAUUUACAUUUGGUAUGCUGAGGGCUUUAAUUUACAGUUAUUUUUAAUUUAUUUUUAUCGAUGUGCUCAUUUGAAAAAUUUGACCCCCCUGACCCCGGGUCCUGGAUCCGCCACUGACCACACCCAAAUUAGACAUGAUGGAAGAACAAUUUCUCUCCAAUGGUGUGAGACACUAGUGAGAGAGUCUCUUUAGUGUGAGACACUCCCAUUGGAGAUGCUCUAAAAUAUCUACACUUCAUUUUUUACAAUUCUCCAUAGUGUCACAUCAUCUAUAUCACUUUACUAACUUUUUACUCCAACCCAACAACUCUUAAGAGUUUCUAUAGUGGAUCCCACAAAAAACAUCACAUUCGUAUAUUUUAUUGUUUAUCUCUAAUUAUAUUAAUUGUAAGUGUUUGUAAUAAAUACUAGCUCACUUUUCAAGUCUAGUUUGGAGUAUCUAUUCUCAGCUACUCAUCUUUGUCA